AGCAGCCGCGGUAAUUCCAGCUCCAAUAGCGUAUAUUAAAGUUGUUGCAGUUAAAAAGCUCGUAGUUGAAUUUCGGGGUCAGUAGUUUGGUCAUGCCACAGGUAUGUACUGGUCUUACUGAUUCCUCCUUCCUGAUGAACCGUAAUGCCAUUAAUUUGGUGUUGCGGGGAAACUGGACUGUUACUUUGAAAAAAUUAGAGUGUUUAAAGCAGGCUAACGCUUGAAUACAUUAGCAUGGAAUAAUGAAAUAGGACGUUCGAUCCUAUUUUUGUUGGUUUCUAGGAUUGACGUAAUGAUUAAUAGGGAUAGUUGGGGGCAUUAGUAUUCAAUUGUCAGAGGUGAAAUUCUUGGAUUUAUUGAAGACUAACUACUGCGAAAGCAUUUGCCAAGGAUGUUUUCAUUAAUCAAGAACGAAAGUUAGGGGAUCGGAGACGAUCAGAUACCGUCGUAGUCUUAACCAUAAACUAUGCCGACUAGGGAUCGGGAUGAUGUUAAUUUUUUAAUGAACUCAUUCGGCGUC
RNAcentral lists this ribosomal RNA (520 nucleotides) under uncultured Glomus. RNAcentral describes it as "SSU rRNA". It matches the Rfam family "Eukaryotic small subunit ribosomal RNA", at positions 569 to 1087 of the family's 1831-position model. The record is from RNAcentral. Lineage: Eukaryota; Fungi; Glomeromycota; Glomeromycetes; Glomerales; Glomeraceae.